Molecule: non-coding RNA, 8298 nt
Organism: Manis javanica (Malayan pangolin)
Lineage: Eukaryota; Metazoa; Chordata; Mammalia; Pholidota; Manidae
Source: RefSeq, a predicted model, not a curated record
CACAAAGACUGGUCACUCAUUUAAUCCUUCUAUCAAAGCUCCUUCACCCACAUUGGGACACAAAGCCAAUGUUCUUCCAAAACCAGGCCACGUCUACAAACGAGUAUAAAAUGAGCAUCCUGAACACCUCCAGACCGCAAGCUCUGCUAUCACCGCGCUCUCUGGGGCGCCAGCCGGAGGCCGGGUUCCACAGGAGCGCGCAGUUCCGGCGCGUGGCCCUGUGCUCCGGAAGUGGCUCCCCCCAGUACCGCUCUUUGCGUCAGAGCCAGUCUCACUUUUCUUCAGGCGUCGGCCGAAGCCGCCUGCAGACGAGUUUUGGACGAAAGGCCCUCCCGUACGGGGGCGUGGCCACGCAGCCGCAGUCCCCGGCCGGCCCGGACGGGGACUCCGAGCCUCAGUAACGAGGAGGCCAGAAAAUAUUUCCCUGAGAAAUGACAGUUGAGCCAACAUCAGAGGGAUAAGAUGUUUACAAGCUAACUUGGGGAGAAAGAGCAUUCAUACCAGAGAAUAUUGCAAGUGUAAAGACUUGGAGGUAGAUGUGAUCAUGGUUGUGAAGAUGAGAAAAGAAGUGAAGAGAAUCCGAGUUUUUAUCUGAAAACUUGUCAGGAGUGUGAGCAGACUGGAGUCCAAAAAGGGCACUGAAGAUGCACUGUUAAAAAGCCAGAGACGAGCACGAUGAUUGCUUGAAGAAAUCCCUGCCAUGAAGAUCUCACUAAACAGCCAGCCAUCAAGAGGAUGCCUCGGUCAGGACGUCAUCUCACUAAGUACUGCGUCUGCAGACUCACCGAGCAACAGCUAGAGUGAAGGGACAGAGUGUAUCUGAGUGUUACCUAUCCAAGGAAGUGAGUAUAAGGGUAGUGGAUUUGAGACUCGGUGGAAAGUGUGUGAUCAUACAGGACUGUGCAGAUACAUCAUUCCUGAGUUGGCUUCACAAUCUCAUCUGCUACCUUAAGGGGGCAUUUUCUGCAUGACUGUGGGAGCCUUUGAGUCCAUGAGCUUGGUUCCGUGGCAACUUCAACACAAGAGAAAUUGCCAACAAACUUGGGCAGUAGGACUUCGACUUUGAGUCAUUCAGACCCAAGUUUGAACCCAAUUGCUGUUUACCAGCUCUGUGAUCACGGAAGGCUUCUGAAUCUCAUUUCCUCAUCCAUAAUGUAGGGAUUUUAAUGAUACCUACUCCAUUUGAUUAUUGUGGAAUUAAAAGCUUGACUGUAAGGUGCCUAGUACACAGUAAGUGCUCAGUAACUGUUAUCUGCCAAUGUUAUUGUUGAUACUUUAAUACAGAUUUUAAACUGGUAAAACCAUAAGCUAGAAGGAAAGGAAAGAAACUUAGAAAUGGAAAGCAUUAGGAACCUGGAAAAGCUGGAUUAGGAAGGUUAAAAUUGAGACUUCUAGCUUCUAAAAACCUGAGAGAUUUGGUGACCUGGGAUUAACACAGUCCUUUCCUGGCAACAAAGAGCUAGAUAUUUGCAAUAAAUACAAAGGACAGAGUAGAGCCUCAGUCAUUUGUAGAGUCAGAAAAAUAAGGAAGGGCUGUCUAUUGUUUGAGGAAAUUUGUGUAGUGUUAACAGACAACAGAAAAAACCCCCCAGAACUAUCAACCUUGUGUUUUAAUUUUUUUUCUUCUUGGUCAAAGAGAAGUAUUUUCAGUCAGAAAGGGAAGAAUAAACAUUGGUAAGAGGAGUCUAAGUUCUUAGACAGAAAGAGAGCUACCCAAAUGAGUUCAUAUUGCUCAUGUCAUAGGCAACCGGAAAGAAGAGCAGCUAAGAUUAUGGCUGCAAGUGGCGAUCUAGGAGGCAUCGCUAGAGCAUGAGUACGUGUCCAAACAAUGACACAGAAACAGAUUUUAUCCAGAUUCCCAAAAGAAAACAGAAGAGUCUACUUGUAAUUUCAUGAAUUAUAAACCAAUAAGCUCUCUGUUUAUCCUGAGCAAAAUGGUAAAUGGAUUGUUUGUGAGCAUUUAGGAAAGGAAAAGAAUGACCACAGAGUUGACACUGGUUGAUAAAUAUAAGUUUUGUCAGUACAUUCCUUUUCCUUUCUGAUAAGAUUAUUAGGCUAAUAAGGUCAUGGAAAAGAUUCACUCGUUUAGCAAAUAUUUAUUGAAUACUACCUAGGUGUAGGCAUAUUGCCUGAAUGUUUUUCUUGGAGAAAAAGGCAAUAUGUUUAUUUAUUAAUGAACAGGAGAUUGAAUCAAACAUUCUAGGAAGGAAUGAGACAGAGAUCUGACCAGGUAUACAAAAAGGAAUGGUUUCUGUGCCAAAAUUGGAAACACAGGAAUUGCUGAAUGGGGUCAUUGUAAAAAAUUUUGUUUUUAGACUUGUGUUUAAAAUGUUUAAAAUGCUGUGGGUGGAGAUGUCUAUUAACAUAAAGACAUGGAGCUCAGGAGGCCCUGAACUGGAGAUGGAUCUGGGAAUCAUUAGCUCGUAUGGUUGUUGAGAUUUUUACAAUCACUGGGAUUUUUCAAAAGAGGGUGUAGAGUAAGAAGAGAGCUAAGGUGAGAACGUAGGUAGCAGUAAAAUUUAAGAAGAAAAAGAACUUCCAAGAGGCCUUGAAAAGCACAGGCAGGGAAGUGCGCGGAGAGCCGGAGACAGUCAUACUGGUGGCCCCGGGGGAGAGAUGCCUGUCUUCUCAGGAGAGCGUAGUGGGAUCUGGGACACAUGGUCUCCACCUGAUGCCCAUGGGCAUGAACGUGGUCACAGGGUGUGGGAGAGGAAAAGGGGGCUGGGCAGAACGGCCAGGAAGGAAGGAUCUGCAGAGAUGGUGAAAUAGGAGAACGAGGAGGAGGGGAAAGAAGCUGGUGGAGAAAUAGAUUCAUAUGGUAAUUUUUAAAAACUGAAGCUAACAGGAUAUUGAGUAGGCAGCCAAAACACUCGUCACCAUAACUGAGACGCGGGAGCAGCACAGGCGGAGCAGACAGCCCUGACGCAGGCCGAUGCCUCCAGGGAGCGGGCGGAGUGCUGGGCAGGCAGGACGCUUUCCUGGGCAAGGAGGUGUAUCUCCUGUCCUCUCUCCUGUGCACUGCCUCCUAAAAUGGCAGUAAAUUACCCUUUUUCUUUAUUUAAGAAUGGAUUUUAAAAGCAAAAUGAACUGAAUCAACAUUUUUCAAUUUGAACAUAAGAACCAUGUGGUCAGUUGAUAGUCAUACAAGUGAAAAGCACCUGUUGGAUUCUGUAGUUGACUUUGAAUUCACAAUGUUAAUAGUAAUAGUAGAGAUAGUAUUUUGAGCAUUUAUUAUGUUAGGUAGUUACAGAUAUCUAUUGUACUGAUAGUAGAUCUAUGAAUCUCACUCUACAAACUCAGUUAAUCUAUAAAAAUAAACAUUUCUUGUAACCCAAUUCUGUUUAACCCUCCUACUGCCAGGUUAAUAGUAAAUUCAGGUAAUUUUUAGCUUGGACCUCCUGUGGGGUUGAGACAAAGGACCUAGAGAUAUCUACGAAGGGCCUUGGCCAGUGACCUGGGGGGCAGGGAGCCUUCUGGGCCUGAGUCGUCUGUUCCCACAGGGUUACCCGGAGAGAGUUGGCCUGCAGCAGGGCCCUUCAGGACUGGAGGCUCACACGAUGUUCUGCGGCGUCACUUAAGGGCUGCAGCGGUAAGAGGUGACAGACCGUUGCAGGUAAACUCUUUGCUAAGUUGUUUCCUCUUUGGGGUAUUGGUACCUCCCAGCCAAACAGCCUAGAAAAAAGGGAACUUGGCCUCUGGAGCUAUCUUCCUGUCUGUUCCCUUUGCCUACUUUUCACUCUACUUCCCUCAGCCCACGGAAAAUCCUAUUUUAGGCAGAGUGGAAGAAAUGAUGGCUCCCUGACCCCUGUCUCCUCCAUGCAUUUUGUCUAUACAUCAUUCCCCAAGCCCUGUAGGCCCACAGACACAGUGCUCAUUGGCUGUUUCUACGUUCUGACUAGGGCAUCCUUUUCCUGAGGCAAUGAGCUCAGUUGUGCCCAUAUGCUUGGGAAAGGGGAAAUACCAGCAGAAGAAUGUGCCAAAAUAAUCAUACCAGCCCAUAAACACAGAGUUCUUUAUUUUUGUAGCAACAGAAUUAGAAAAUUAGGUAGGUUCUUAGAUAUUUACAUGAAAGGGUUCCAAAUUUAAGAUAUAGUUGUAGUAAUGUUACUCUAGGCCAUUGGUUUGUGCUGCCAGGAAGGAAGGGGAAAGCCCUGGGAAGCUUUUGAGGCAGACAGCAGCAGUGGGUCAGACAUCAAGAGAAAGGGCUCUGGCCCACUCUGUUUGAGAGUGCUUGGCAAGAUUCUUAAGAAAUAACAGUGAUUAAAACUGAAAACUUUUAUCUGAUGCCUAACUGUGGACUUGGACUCUGCUUCCUCUCUCAAGCCAUUACCUGGAGGUUUUCUUUUCUCUGCCAUUCAGUUUCCAUUCGAUUUCUCUUCUGACUGUGCCUUUUCAGGAUGUCUCCAUCCUCGGUGCCUCUCUCUCCUUCCUCGGGGUCACGACCAUCAUGUAUCAUGGUAGCCUGUGGAAUUUCAGGCAGCCUCAUUUUCAAUGAGCAUUUAUCAGCGUGAGGUGUUCAGAGCCCCAUGAUAAGGUUUCACAUAUCGUAAACCUCAAGGGGCUAGAGAUGGAGGAUGCAUAAUCCAGCACAGCAUGUCCCAAACGGCCUCUAUAUUAUUGCUGCAGGAGUUUGAGAAGGGCAUGAAGCAGAACUUUCAGCUGCUGAGUCAAAAAGGUAUGCAUUUGUGACACUUGAAUUGCAGCUGUUUUUUGGAACUCCACCUAAAAAUAGUACAAGCUCAAUCUGCAGAAAUUCUGACUGAGUUUCAAGUCAGAAUUUGAAACUGAGUGGAUAUGCCUAAAUUCAAGAAAGAUGAGUUAUUCUUAGACUUUUAUAAGCAACUGAGAAGGAAGUCUCUAGCUCAACAACUGUCAGCAAUUAAGUCAAAUAAUAUCUAUCUCCAAGACAUAUGCUUUGAAGAUUAAGCAAGCCUGUAUUGCUGAAAGAACACUGAUUGCCAUUCUGAUACUUGCUGGGAUUAUUCAUCAUUACUGUAUAUUCAAGAUAUAGCAGGUGUCUUCACAUUUCGGUCUGGCUACUAAUUCCAGAGAGAGGUCUUUCCUGACAAACUGAUCACUCUGGUAUUUAAAUCCGAUUCUGAAACUUCAGAAUACCAAAGUACCCAAUUUAAAAUGCUAUUUAAGAUGACUAUCCUAUCUUUUAUGUUGGAUUUUUGAAACUAAUUCAAUUAGAGAAGUAUUUUGAUGUUGCAAAUACCUAUACAUCAGCUCAUCUACUUUAAAAUUAAUCAAAAUAUUUAGGCAUCUUCACAGAAAUUUCUCAUAUUCAUAUAACAAGGCAAUAGUUAUUUACUUCCUGGUACUCUAAUAUGUUUUGGUAAAUCUCUACAUGACUUGUAUAAAAGCAAUAAAAGCUAGUUUCAUGGUACUCCAUUGUCAGAAUAAUGAAUGCUUUAAAAAUAUGUUGAUACAAAGCCUGUCCAAUUCUCUCCCUUGGGUUCUGAAGAAUGUGCACUUGUGGGUCUUAGAAGGAAGGAAACUUCCUGUACCUUCUUUGGACCUGGGCUUCUAGCUAGUGGGAGCAGAGAAUGGCUAAACUGGAAAAGUUUAACAGCCAGCAUCUCUCAGCAUCUCUCAAAGGUACUUAGGGAACUAGUUGCAGAAACUGAGUAGCAUCCAGACAGCACCCCAGAGAGAGUACACUGGAGCUUAUCAUCCCACACGAUUACAUAUUCAAAUUGGUUUGAAUUCCCUGGCCACCCAUGGGGAUGUCAUGGGAGGUGGUAAAGAAGCAUGCUGUGUCAGGGCAGAAGCACUGGAGGAACCUGGUCUAACAUUAAAAAUGUGGUACAGAUAUUUAUUUCCCUAAGGUGAAAAAGUCCCACAACCAUGAAAAUUCAGACAUCCAGGAAAGAGCUGUGAAUGUAAAAAUGAGGUUGAAUUUCCAAGUGACAUGUGAUAAUCUUUUUCAAUACAUUAAGAAUUCUACCUUGCCCUUGCAAGGAUUUCUUAUUCUUGAAUGCUUCAUAUACAGCUCUUUAAGAUGCUCCUACUGCAGCCAGGUAAAUUAACACAUACCCAUCCUGCCCUCUAGACUAGAAAACCCCAGGUAUUAUGAGUAAACGUCUGUGACAUUUUGGUUAAUUGGAGCUGGUGUUGGGGGAACUUUUGAGCAUUAGUAGCUACAGGCAUAACCUUUGCUUAUUUUCACUAAUGUGGUUUGAGAGGGUUCAGGGUUGUGUUGGAAAGUGUGGGCAGCGGCAGGGGAAUUUGGAAAACACAUGAAGUUUACUUGCUUUGUAUGUUUGUGACCUUUCAAUGGCGAAAUAUAAGAACUUUGCAAAAUCAUGUUUCAGUGAUACAAUAAAUAGAAUAUCAGCAUAUAGGUGAUAAAGAAUACAAUCUGUUUGCAACACAUUGUAGGGUUAAAACUCCUUAUCAAGUUUGCUGUUUCACCUGGGAAUAUCCAAGUAAACCCAACUGAGAUGUGCUGGCAGACAUGGGAGGAUAAACCACAGGAGGAGGGAGCUGGAUUAGAAGGAGGUGGGACCUGGAGAAUCAAAUGGAGGCGAGGAAUUUGGACUCAGCCCAGAGAGAUCUAGAAGGUACAACACACUGCAGGUGAUAGACUGCAAUAGGCAGUCUCAUUGUUAUGGAAAAUACUGGAAAACCUGGACUGGAUCGCUGAUGGAAGAACCAAGCGGCACUUGAAGGUCUUGGAGUGUUGAGGUUUUAUUUCACACCGGCGGGCUCACAGAGGAGUAACCUCCCAAGGCCUGAUUCCUGAGCACAAACAAAGGGAGUAAUUUAUAUUAUUUUGACAUGUGGCAUUUCAGCAUGCGCAGGGCAAAGCAGGAGCCUGGAGGAGGGGAGGAGGGAGCUGGGGGGCUCUGCCAACCGGGGGCAAAAGUGGUUUGCUGACCUUGACGGCUGUGUUGAGUGUUUUCCUUACCAUCAGGAGAACCAUCUUCACAGUCACUGUGAGAUGCUGACGCUGCCCCACAGAAACAUCUCAUUAAAAAUUUUCUAGUUAUCUACAUUCUAAAAAAAUAAAAAGAAGCAUGUAAAAUAAGUUUUAUUUUAUAUUUUAAAAUUCUAAAAUUAUAUUGAACCCAGUAUAUCCAAAAUACUAUCCUGUCAAAAAUGUACCCAUAAUGCCUAGCAGCCACACAUGACUACAGACAACACCGAGAUCAGUGGGUCUUUCGGCACUGGGGUGUCUUCCAGGCCAGAGGAAGGCUCGACUCAUGAGGACCGAUGGAGACCGGUAUGUUAGCUGGUGAUUCACAAAAGAGAAUUAUAUAUGUUAGAAAUCCAUUAGAAAACUGCUACCUCAUUUGUAAUCGAAGCUAUAAAAAUUGAAAUAUGAGUAAGAUGCUAUUUCUCACCUGUCAAAAGGGCCACUUUUAAAAAAUUGCAGCUGGUUGGAAAUGUGCUAAAAUUCAUAUAUUGCUGUAAGUGUAAAUUGGUAUAACUCAUUUGGAAAGCAUUUUACAUUUCAUGUCAAGAGCUUUGAAUUGUUUUUUCCAACUUCUAAGACUCUAUAAUGGAAAACAAUAAAAACAAUAAUUAUUGAGUUUUAUUAUAUAACAGCAUACUUAGCACUUCAUAUGUUUUAAGCCUUUUAAUCUUUACAACUAUGAACUAGCUAUUAUCCAAUUUUAAUCCUAUAAAAAUAACCCAAAAUUUGGGAAAAAUUAUGUGUCAAUGUUAUUAUAGUAUUGUUAAAAGAAGAAAAAAUACAAACAAACAAAAAACUAGGAAAAAACCUAAAUGUCUCAAAUCAAGGAAUGGUUUCUUAAGUGAAACUACUCAAUGGAAUUGAUGUAUUUACUAAAGUGUUUUUUAAGAAUAUACAAUGCUAUGGAAAAAAUGCAUGUCUUAGUCUGCUGUCAUUCAACAAAGCUGCAUAACAAACAGGUAUUAAAUCUGGGUGGCAUACAACAGUAAGCAUUUAUUUCUCAUGCACAUAUUUGCAGGUCAGUUGGGGUACGGCUCUGCUCUUGGCUCCAGGUAAGCUGACUUUGGUUUUAGGUUCAUUUAUGAUGCACUGUAUUCAUUUUGGAGCCCAGGUUGAAGGGGCAUCUGCUAUCAGGGGAAAGCUCUUCUCAUGGCAGAUUCCUGGAGUGAAAGACAGCAAGAGAGCAAGAAGGCAUGAGUGACAGCACAGCACAUCUAAGCAUUUACUUGCUUCAUGUGUACUAACUUAUUCAAAGGAAGCCAUAUGGUGAAGUCUAAAGUUGAGGAGUUGGGAGCUAUCCUCUGCCUGCCACGAGAAUGUGCAAGAAUGUGUAUGUAUAAUUCUAUUACAAGAGAAUAAAGAUUUGGAACCAAUAA